Triticum aestivum (bread wheat) is the source of this 134-nucleotide non-coding RNA. NCBI's taxonomy places the organism in Eukaryota, Viridiplantae, Streptophyta, Magnoliopsida, Poales, Poaceae. The record is from Rfam.
CACAUACUCCCACGUCCUAAAAUUCUUGUCUUAGAUUUGUCUAAAUACGGAUGUACCUAAUAUUAAAACAUGACUUGAUACAUCCGUAUCUAGACAAAUCUAAGACAAGAAUUUUGAGACGGAGGGAGUACCUA